Molecule: unclassified non-coding RNA, 229 nt
Filed under: plant metagenome
Description: partial contains small subunit ribosomal RNA, internal transcribed spacer 1, and 5.8S ribosomal RNA
Source: RNAcentral
UCUCCGUAGGUGAACCUGCGGAGGGAUCAUUACAGAGUUCAUGCCCUACCGGGUAGAUCUCCCACCCUAUGUUAUUAUUACUUCGUUGCUUUGGCGGGCCGUUAGGCUCCGGCCCGACUACCGGCCCCGGCUGGUAAGCGCCCGCCAGAGGACCCAAAACCCUGAAUAUUAGUGUCGUCUGAGUACUAUAUAAUAGUAAAAACUUUCAACAACGGAUCUCUUGGUUCUG